This 1500-nucleotide ribosomal RNA is filed under the name metagenome. RNAcentral's name for it is "bacterial SSU rRNA". It matches the Rfam family "Bacterial small subunit ribosomal RNA". The record is from RNAcentral.
AGAGUUUGAUCAUGGCUCAGAUUGAACGCUGGCGGCAGGCCUAACACAUGCAAGUCGAACGGUAACAGGAAGCAGCUUGCUGCUUCGCUGACGAGUGGCGGACGGGUGAGUAAUGUCUGGGAAGCUGCCUGAUGGAGGGGGAUAACUACUGGAAACGGUAGCUAAUACCGCAUAAUGUCGCAAGACCAAAGAGGGGGACCUUCGGGCCUCUUGCCAUCGGAUGUGCCCAGAUGGGAUUAGCUUGUUGGUGGGGUAACGGCUCACCAAGGCGACGAUCCCUAGCUGGUCUGAGAGGAUGACCAGCCACACUGGAACUGAGACACGGUCCAGACUCCUACGGGAGGCAGCAGUGGGGAAUAUUGCACAAUGGGCGCAAGCCUGAUGCAGCCAUGCCGCGUGUAUGAAGAAGGCCUUCGGGUUGUAAAGUACUUUCAGCGGGGAGGAAGGGAGCAAAGUUAAUACCUUUGCUCAUUGACGUUACCCGCAGAAGAAGCACCGGCUAACUCCGUGCCAGCAGCCGCGGUAAUACGGAGGGUGCAAGCGUUAAUCGGAAUUACUGGGCGUAAAGCGCACGCAGGCGGUUUGUUAAGUCAGAUGUGAAAUCCCCGGGCUCAACCUGGGAACUGCAUCUGAUACUGGCAAGCUUGAGUCUCGUAGAGGGGGGUAGAAUUCCAGGUGUAGCGGUGAAAUGCGUAGAGAUCUGGAGGAAUACCGGUGGCGAAGGCGGCCCCCUGGACGAAGACUGACGCUCAGGUGCGAAAGCGUGGGGAGCAAACAGGAUUAGAUACCCUGAUAGUCCACGCCGUAAACGAUGUCGACUUGGAGGUUGUGCCCUUGAGGCGUGGCUUCCGGAGCUAACGCGUUAAGUCGACCGCCUGGGGAGUACGGCCGCAAGGUUAAAACUCAAAUGAAUUGACGGGGGCCCGCACAAGCGGUGGAGCAUGUGGUUUAAUUCGAUGCAACGCGAAGAACCUUACCUGGUCUUGACAUCCACGGAAGUUUUCAGAGAUGAGAAUGUGCCUUCGGGAACCGUGAGACAGGUGCUGCAUGGCUGUCGUCAGCUCGUGUUGUGAAAUGUUGGGUUAAGUCCCGCAACGAGCGCAACCCUUAUCCUUUGUUGCCAGCGGUCCGGCCGGGAACUCAAAGGAGACUGCCAGUGAUAAACUGGAGGAAGGUGGGGAUGACGUCAAGUCAUCAUGGCCCUUACGACCAGGGCUACACACGUGCUACAAUGGCGCAUACAAAGAGAAGCGACCUCGCGAGAGCAAGCGGACCUCAUAAAGUGCGUCGUAGUCCGGAUUGGAGUCUGCAACUCGACUCCAUGAAGUCGGAAUCGCUAGUAAUCGUGGAUCAGAAUGCCACGGUGAAUACGUUCCCGGGCCUUGUACACACCGCCCGUCACACCAUGGGAGUGGGUUGCAAAAGAAGUAGGUAGCUUAACCUUCGGGAGGGCGCUUACCACUUUGUGAUUCAUGACUGGGGUGAAGUCGUAACAAGGUA